GUGAGUCAUCGAAUCUUUGAACGCAUAUUGCACCUUCUGGCAUUCCGGGAGGUACACCUGUUCGAGCGCCAUUUCAACCCUCAAGCUUAGCUUGGUGUUGGGUGAGGUCCUUAGGGGACCCGCCCGUAACUCGUAGGCGGUCAACACCCGCGCCCCCAGCGUAGCAGGCUCACGCAUCCGCUUGGGGACGGGCUUUGACUUUGCCUGGCAACCAACCCUUUUAAAAGGUUGGCCUCGGAUCAGGUGGGGAUACCCGCUGAACUUAAGCAUAUCAAUAAGCGGAGGA
This 286-nucleotide unclassified non-coding RNA is filed under the name fungal sp. Its description in RNAcentral is "partial contains 5.8S ribosomal RNA, internal transcribed spacer 2, and large subunit ribosomal RNA". The stretch from base 1 to 71 matches the Rfam family "5.8S ribosomal RNA", at positions 84 to 154 of the family's 154-position model. Lineage: Eukaryota; Fungi. The record is from RNAcentral.